RNAcentral lists this long non-coding RNA (1165 nucleotides) under Malus domestica (apple). RNAcentral describes it as "long non-coding RNA (MDOM_LNC008279)". Lineage: Eukaryota; Viridiplantae; Streptophyta; Magnoliopsida; Rosales; Rosaceae. The record is from RNAcentral.
AAACUUAAAAUACUCAAAACAGCUUAAAACAACCAAAUAAACUUAAACUAGACACUAGGAAUGACUUUCGACGAAAAUUGACUUUUACUUGAAUCAAAACACUUAAGAACAUAACUAAAACAGAUUUGAAACACUUUGAAACAAGAAACUAAAAGGGGGGGGUUUUGAUUUGGAUGACGUUGAAACAAACAAACAAGUAUGAAAAAUUAGACAGAUUGUAAAACAAAUGUGAGAAAUAAGAUGAUGGAUGAGAUAGCUAGAGGCUUUUUCUCCACACAUGACUUGUAUGCAAAUAACUCGAUUUCCAGUUACUACUUCAUUGAAUUAUGAACGAGAAUGCUCCAAAUUAACCGUGACAUCACUAGUUAACUCUCAAAUUUUCCUUGUUUUAUUGGAUUAGAUGACAUCAUUCGACAACCCAAAACAUUCUUCUAAAGUUACCUACAUGACAUCAUAAUAGAGAUACAAUCAAAGAUCAUUACGUUUAAUGAAAAUCAUAAGCAUUGACAAAGCACUUGCAACUAUGACAUCAUGUUACUCAUGCUAGGAAUUAAACUUAACGUGAUCGUUUAUAAGCGACCUCUACUACUUAUGAAUAUAAGUUUGUAAUGAUUAUAUGAAACUUUCUUAUAUUCUAGCAUCGGAUUUAUGCAUGCCAAUUAAGUGUCGACCCUUAAUCAACAAAAACAAAUAAGUUAUCAAUCAAAUAGUUAAGCCAAUUGCAUUUACGAUUCAAGUGUUCAUAACUGGAAUUUAUCAAAUCAUAUUACACACAUAAUCAUGGCUUUGAAAUCACCCUAGCCAAGAGGGGUUUAGCCACUCAUAUUCACAACAAAACAAAAGAAAAUGAAUAUAAACAUUGGAAACAAAAGAAAGAUAACACCAAAAUGCUCCAACGAUCCAAGUUGGACAGCAAGCACAUCCAAACACUUUCCUUCCCUUCCUUUGCUAUGGCACAAGGUGUUGGUAAGUGUUUGAAGGUUUGUUUGUAUGGAGGAAAGGAUGUGAAGAUGAAUGGAUGUGUUUGGAUGAAGGUUGUAUUGAAUGCGGCAAAGAGUGGAAAAUUGUGUAGAUGAUGUGUGUGUAUGUUUUUGGAUUGAUAUAUUUAUAGGCUAGGGAGAGGAUGUAAUGGGUGGUGGUAAUGGGUGGAUGUAGUGGUAGGUGA